This is a long non-coding RNA of Ctenopharyngodon idella (grass carp), 797 nucleotides long. RefSeq lists it as uncharacterized. The transcript has 6 exons. The record is from RefSeq and is a predicted model, not a curated record. NCBI's taxonomy places the organism in Eukaryota, Metazoa, Chordata, Actinopteri, Cypriniformes, Xenocyprididae.
UGCUCCUUUAAAGCGCGCGCUGCGGUUAUGUUAACAGAACACGACUUAAAUGGAUAGGAUACCCCCAAAAUUAAAACUGUCGUUUACUCACCCUGAUGUUGUUCUAAACCUGUUUGACUUCCAUAUGAUGGGAAAAAAAACUAUGGAAGUCAAUGGGGCCCAUCAACUGUUUAGUUACCGACAUUCUUCAAAAUAUAUUUUUUUGUGUUCAGCAGAAGAAAUACAUUCAUACAGGUUUGGAACAACCUGAGGGUGAGUAAAUGAUGACAGGAGUUUCAUUUUUGGGUGAACUAUCCCUUUAAGCGCGCGCCCUAACAGAACGACCGUUAACGGCCGUUAUUAGCGUGAACGGAUUUUAAAUUUGACUCAUGUUUCUGACUGUUGUCUUCAUCGAGUCUACCUCACAUUUAAAACGUUGGUUUGAGAGGUGCUGAGCUGAGUGGACUACUUUGGCCUGACUACAGCGGAGGUUGGUUUGAGAGGUGCUGAGCUGAGUGGACUACUUUGGCCUGACUACAGCGGAGAUUGAGGUUGGAGUCCAGCUGACGGAGCUGUUGAAGGAAUCCAGCGUUGGGUAGAAUGUUCCGGUGGGCGCAAACCGUACUAAUGGCUUCUGCGAUUGUCUGUCAUCUACGUAGAGCCGCAUUUGUGUGUGAUUGUGUGAUGGAUGACUCAGAACAUUAAGCAGGAAGAGAAUGUAUUUCGACCACAGCAAAAAAAUACAACAACUUAAAAAAGACCUUGUUUUAAUUGAGAAAUUAAAUCCUGUAUCAAAUCAUGUAAUUCCAUUAUAUGUG